AUUCUGUAUGCAACAACACCCUCUAGGUUUGCACAGUCUUUCUGGGCAUGAGCUUUGAAGCCCUGUGAGUCUCUGCUCGCUGCCAGCCAUCUGUAUAGGAAAAGGAACCGGCUAUAUUUAGAACUGCUUGCAUUCAUGUGUAGUCACCCACCAGGGGAGUCAUAGUCGCUCUCAAUACACAUCCUGCCUGUGUCAUUCACAGGCGUGUGCAGACUGCAUCUGAAGGAAGUCAUCCUAUACAAAACAAAGAGGUUGGGUUAAAAUAAGCUUUGAAAUACACAACCAUCAGCUGUAACGUCAGGACCUCUGACAGGUGAAGUGAGCAUCAUUGAUUUUCUCUUUACAGUGUCACCUGUCAGUAGGUGGGAUAUGUCAGGCAGCAGGCGAGCGUUUAGUCCUUGAGGCGGAAAAAGCGAGUGAGUGUACGGAUGUGAGCAACUUUCACAUGGACAAAACUGUGAAGAAACUUUUAGGAACUACUGAGUCUGAGCAUCUUUAAAAACGGCAGCUCGGUCCACAGGGAUCAGUACCUACCAAAAGUGGUUGAAAGUAGGAAAACCUGUGACAGGGUCAUGUGCAGACAAGGCUCACUCAUGCAUGUGAGGAGUGAAGGCUGGGCCAUGUGGUCCAUUAAAAACAGAGGAGCUCCUAGUGUUCAGACUGCUGAAAGGUGAGUGCUGCUGAGUAAUGUGUAAUGUGUAAUGACGCUCAGUAAGGUGUGGUCAAACUAUGUAAUUUAUUUUAUGUACACUGUACGAUUUUUGCACGUACACUCAUAAUUCGAUUUUGUGAUUUUGAGCAGUUUCUUAUUUGGAGUUUAGUCCCAAUUUGUGCCACAAGGGGGCUCAGUCACACUUCAUGUUACCUGUCUCAUGAAAUCGCCAGUUACCAACUAGUUCGCCAUCUUUAUAACAGAGAAUGUUUACUGUAGAGUUUGAAACACAAUGACGCCCCAAUGCUAAAUUGCAUUAGCUUAGUUUGUCUGGUAUCCAGUAGGCAAUAUUUUUUUGUUGUAGGACGGAAGGGUAAAGUCUUGCCUCCUUAACCUCUGACUGGCUAGAAAAGCUGGAGUCAGUAAGAGUCAGUAACUGUUUGUUUUCAUACUUUUUACAAAGUUUAAGGUAAAAAAAUGUAAUUAUGACUCAGCGAGCGUAGCCAGUUUCUAUGGGAUUUUCCAUUUCAACUAGUCGAGCUGGUAACCUGUUUACAACAGAACUUCGGCAAAAAAAACGAUCUUAAAGGUAGAAUAAAGCUGAAUAAUAUGGAUACUUUGCUUACUUAUGCGUUCAAAAGCAAAAGUCCUUAACCCUUUAAUGCCCGAAACCACAAAUUAUGGCCAGAAAAUUUACAUUUUUUUGGAGCUGAAAGGUUUAUUUUACUUACUACUGAAAACCACAAAAAUCAAAUUGUCUUUAAAAUUUAACAAAUAUAUUUAUUUAUCUCGUUUGAUACGUUAGGCAUUUUUGGAAACUGAUAAACCACAAAAGGACAUUUUUAUCUUUUAUCGGACUGUAUUCAGGUGUUUUUUUUAGUAAUUUUUUGAUCAUAUUGAUUUGAUAGAAGUAUCAUAAAAGUAUGGAUUAAAUACAAAAGGCAUUAGCGGGACAAGACAGCUCUGUAUGUAUUUGUGUUCUAUCCGUAUUAAACUGUCAGACUAUGACUAUGAAUGGAGUCUUGGUGACAGGAGAAACAGGAAGGACCCUGAUGGUUGAGCACACUGUAGCGAUGGAAAUAAAGAGAAAAAAUACAUUAGUUUUCAUUGUUGUUUCAGUCACCUGCAGGAUGUUGCAGCCUUUAAACUAAGCUUUCUAACAGCUGAAGAAACUGGACCAUUUCAAGGUGAUGACUUGGUUUCAAAAGUUCCCAGAUUUCAGUCCAACUGAGCAUCUUUGGAUGUGAAGACUUAAGUGUGAUCCACGGAGGCCCCUGCUCACCUAACCCCAGACACCACAGCACUCCUCCACAGGCCCAGAGGAGCCCAUGUCCCAUCAAGUUAGAGUUGUUUUGACCCUGACUGGAUAAGAAAGGGAGCAGCACAACAUCCAACAGGUGGUUAUUAUGUCACAGCUGAUCAGUGUAUAACUUUUUCACUUUAUAUCACUGUGUAAAACAACAACACGUUCAAGGUUCAAACAAAUAUGUCCAGAGUGCUUGUUAUUCAUAUCAACAUACUGCUGAAUUAUCUAAUAAUCCAAAUCUCUUCUCAGCAGGCCACAGGGUCGUUCAGUCAGUGAGAACCUCAGCGGCUCCCCGGGAAGCUAAUUAAAAUCCAUCCCAAUAACAGGCAGAGAAAAGAAGUGCCGACUUAUUGAAGAGAGAAUAAUCAAAGUGUGGGAUGUGAGGUGAAGGCGUGGAGGGAAGGCUGUUUAAUGAGGCAGAGACGGCCAGAGUCCAAGUUCAAAGAGGACAAAGCUGUUUGUUCAGAGUUGCACCAAAGCUCUUUCUGUUUUUCAUUACGUUUGUUUACUGUCUUGUAUUUUAUGUCAGGGAUUUUUCACACAACAGUAGUUCCCCUAAUAACCACCAUUUAUUUAUAACUCUAUAACUGCCAGUAGGCAAUGUAGCCGUCACAGUAAAAUUGAAUUCUUCUUACCAAAGAAGACAGAAACACAUGUCGCUCUGGGGCAAAGAUGGUCACUUAAUCUACAGAUCAGUUAUUCAAACAUCUGUGGACGCUUUCAUUGAAGUAGAUUCAACUUUGUCACAGAAAAUGUCCAGAUGGAAAGAUUUAAAGGCGGCUGAAUUAAGGAUUUUAACCAUGUCGAUGGAAAACACGCCACUGUUUUCUGUAAAUAGUCGAGGGCUGCAGGAUGUUUUAGAAAUUAGUGCUGCCAUUUUUUUUGUUUCUCUGCAUCAUUAAAAACUUUAUUGAAGUUAAUUUUACCAGAUAAGUGAGACUUGGCUUUAAUGACAAAAACUGGCACUGAAUCAUUAUCGUAAGAGAAAAGGUCACAAUAACAAGCCAGUAAGUCAUUAUAAUAAGAUGAAAAAUUAAAAUUAUGGAAUAAAAAGUCACAAUAUUGAAAAAGUUGUUCAUUAUAAUAAAAACAGAAUAAAAAUGUAAGAUAAAAAAGACAAAAUUAUUGGGAAGUAACACAAAGGUAUAGGAUAAAAAGUCAAAACAUCAAAGUCAAAGUCAAAAAUAUAAGAUAAGAAAUAGGAAACUGAUGGAUUUAUUAGAUUAAACACUUUGACCAUCUCCCAACCAAGAUCUUUUAUUGUGACAGAUUCUAAUAUUUUUUACUUUUUAAAUCAUAACGAUGACUUAAUUUUUGAGAAAAUUUUGUUUUAAUACCUGUCUUACUUUGUCAAGCAUUUUCUGGGUAUUUGUGACGGUACCAGUAACAGGUUUAGCGUGCAUGUUUAUAUUCUACGGUGGCGACACUAACUGGCUAAACCCACAGGAUCCGGCGUAUCAAUUCAGUGCAGAGCAGCACGAGCAGCAGCUGAAGUUUUCCGCGGUUACAGAGUAAAAUAUCUGGUUAAUUUUCAAAAUAAAAUAAAGUCAAUACAUUGAACUGUUCUUAAUUUGAUAAUGGGAGAGGCCAGAGUUGUGGGAUGUGGGUGUUUAUACACACCGCCGUUUACAUGCUCCGAUUGGCGGAUCUUAUUCUAUGACUCCCGGGGAACACUCAAGAGCUCUUGAGAUCUGGUCCAGUCUCCGGAGAAAUAUCAGUAAUCUUGCAAGCACUUCUGGAUCUGAUCUGUCUGCUGGUCCGGAGUGGAGCAGAGCCGUUCCUGAUCCUAUGGGUUUAGCCAGAGAGACUCUGCCUGCACUGCCUGACCCUCUGACAGGUCCUGCAUUGCUUCUAUCGCACAGUAGUGACAUUUAAACCGGAUAUCAUUCAGCCCUGAAAGAUUCUACAUGAGUGUAGCAUCUGAACCGAGGAAUCAGGAUUCUCAGCAUGUGAAGAAGUGAAGUGUUCUGAUUUUUAUUUGUAGUCUGUUUUUAGUCUUUCAAGUUUUAUUCUUAAUUAUUCAGAUGAUAAAUUUUUCCAAGGAGCAAUAAAUUGUUGUCAGAUCAGAGCCAAGUUGUCAUUCGGGUCUAGAUACAGACUGUUUUUCCUGCAGACAUAAACAGAAUAGAUCAAACUGCACUCUUUGCACUGCUAUAAUCACAAGUACAAUCCUGUGGACCAUCAUAUGCAUUGUUGUAGUUUUUCUUCCUCUUUAUUAAAAAUUGUGGCAUUAGAUCCACAUACUUAAACACUGAAGCUGUUUUUUUAUCAGCCAGACUUCCUCACAUCAAGUUUGGUCAGCUGUUUUGACCUGAAUUCAAAAGCAGAAUGUAAAGAGUUAAUCCAGCAGUUCCAACAUGAUUGACUCAUGUUUCCAACCUACAAACUAUACUUGUAUGUAUUUUUGUUUCUAUUGAAGCAGAGUGGAAUUCAUUGUCAUGCAAGUGUUUUGUUGUAAAUCCCCCAUUCGUUCUGGGUUUGAACAUGAAAACUGCGUGCAUUUUGGAUUCUUUAUGGCUAUAAAAAGCGAUGAGAGGGGCGUAAAGGUCAAAGUCAUUAAAUGUCUGCCCUCAAAUGUCACUGUGGUCGAACAUUGUGAAGUUGUGACCACUGUUGCUGCGUGUAGUUUUAUCACUUCCUCAAUCUGCUCCCUAAAGCCAGACCAUCAGAGUCCACAGUCACCUCUGCACCAGUUGUUCUCCGAGUUUCAUGGUUGCAGCUUUAUGUGCCUCCUUCCUUGGUUACCCCCCCUCUCGUUCUCCCGCUCUGGCCUAAGCCGUGACCCUCAGAGUCUUCUCCUCUGCCAUGUGAUGAGCGUUGUGAGGACUUGUGGGUGCAGCCACAUAAAUCAUUGAUCCCAGCUGCACUUUUGGAUCAACCCGAGGACAAGCGAGCUUUUGUAAAGUGUCUCUAACUGAUUCUUCAGGGUGACAGAAACACUGGUUGGCUUCUUCUCUAGAGCAUGCUCUCGCUGCAUCGAUUUUAUGCAACUGCUUACGAGUCACACGCGUUGGAAAAAGUGGCACAUAGCGAUUAGGGCAGUAUGGGAUAUCCGUUGUGAUUGAUUUUGUUCAUACAUAUUUUUUUUCCCAUCUAUGACCGACAUGAGGUUUAGAGUGUAAACAUGUAGCUGAAGGUCAUGAUUUCUUAGGCUAACAAGGAAUCUUUUCUCCAAUAAUUUCACAAGGAAACUGAGCAUUUUGGUAACAAUGGAGUUAUCACAUAUUUAAUUGUUCAAAAUUGGGUAUGGCUCUAAAUCUGCUCUUAAUUGGCUCAUUUGCAGGUAUAAUUUGCUCUAAAUUAAUGCAUAAUGGUUUUGUAAAUGUAUGCAAACAACACUGGCACACAGAGACAGCAUUUGCUCUGAUGUGCAAUUUGUGUUACAUUUACAGAGGUGUAACUUUUGGCAGUCAAUUUCGAUUUAGUCUCAGUAUUUGGACUUAAAUAACUCUUAGUUUUAGUCGUUUUUGCCCUAACUACUUUUUGUCUAGUCUUAGGGUGUUUUCACACCUGAAAGUCUGGACCAAGGUCCAACCAAGGUCCAUGUUUUUGUUACAUAAUAUACAUUUGGUUUGGUCUGUUUAGGUUUCACAUUGUCAUUAUUGCAAACAGACUAAAAGACCUUACAUGACGAACCUACGUGAUAUUGUCAUCAACUACAUGCUCAUUUGGCCGGUGG
Xyrichtys novacula (pearly razorfish) is the source of this 5637-nucleotide non-coding RNA. The record is from the annotation of a GenBank genome assembly. NCBI's taxonomy places the organism in Eukaryota, Metazoa, Chordata, Actinopteri, Labriformes, Labridae.